Molecule: ribosomal RNA, 554 nt
Filed under: Globitermes sulphureus
Lineage: Eukaryota; Metazoa; Arthropoda; Insecta; Blattodea; Termitidae
Description: partial 16S ribosomal RNA
Rfam family: Bacterial large subunit ribosomal RNA
Source: RNAcentral
CGCCUGUUUAACAAAAACAUCUUUUCUUGUUAGUUUUUGAAGUAUGGCCUGCCCACUGACUAUGGAGUUGAAGGGCCGCGGUAUUUUGACCGUGCAAAGGUAGCAUAAUCAUUAGUUCUUUAAUUGUGAUCUGGUAUGAAUGGCUUGACGAGACGUGAGCUGUCUUAGGGGUAUUUUGUUUGAAUUUGGUUUUUGAGUUAAAAUUCUUAGAUGUUUUUAUGGGACGAGAAGACCCUAUAGAGUUUAAUAUUUUUCUUAUUAUGUUAUUGUUGUGUUUGUUUCAUUAUUUUUAGUGGGUUAAGUAUUUUGUUGGGGUGAUGGGAGGAAUUUAUUUAACUCCUCUUUAUUUUGAUAUAUUGAUUUAUGUGUUUUUGAUCCAUUUAUUUUGAUUAUAAGAUUAAAUUACCUUAGGGAUAACAGCGUUAUCUUCCCCGAGAGUUCUUAUCGGCGGGGAGGUUUGCGACCUCGAUGUUGGAUUAAGGUGAAUUUUCGGUGCAGGAGCUGAAAUGAUUGGGUCUGUUCGACCUUUAAAACCUUACGUGAUCUGAGUUCAG